AAAGAGCCUUUAAAGGUUUGAAUUUUUGUUAUCGAUGCAUCGAGCUCUGCGGCUUCUUGAUAACGCAGAUAACAUCAGCAUAAUGCAUGUGUUUGUUGGGUAAACACCUAUACACUGUGUCCAAGACAAGGCCACAAUGGGCAUUUUGGAAAAUCAGUAAAUGUUGAGCAAUUAAAAGACUAAUAAAAUAGUGUUUUCGAAUUUUCGUUUUUGAGUUUAAUUUUCCAAUUUUUCGACUACACUUUUUUGUAGUAGCUAAAAGUCAUCAUCAAACCGUUAAUGAAUUUUGGACAUUUGGCACUUUUUUGUGCGAUUUUUCGUUUGUGCACCAUGCUCAUCUGCAGCACAUUUCUCAAGAACCAUUUGAGGCAUCAAAAUACGAUCUUCCGUAGUUUAUAGGAGAAUAUAGCUUCAAUUGACUUGUGCAAAUUUGAUUCCAUUGGAGCAAGUGGUUCCUUCAUAAUCAAUUUUAGAAUAUUGAUACUUUUUUGGGCGGUUUUUCUUUUGUGCUGUAUGCUUUUCUAAACCACGUUUCUCAAGAACCACUCCAGGCAGUGAAAUACGGUCCUCAGCAAUUUAUAGGUGAUGCUUUAAUUUACUUGUCGUGUAAGUUGGUUCAAUUUCAACACGUGGUUCGUUUAUAAUUAGGUUUGGAAAUGUUGAAGUUUUUUGCCCGGUGUUUUGUUUGUAGUCGAGACGUUUGUGAAGAUCCAUUUGAGGCACCUGAAUUGAGAUCGUAACAGUUGAGAGAAAAAGCAUCGAUUGACGUGUGACCAUUGUGUCCAGAAGAAAUCUUUAACUAUGUGUUUUUUGGUACGGCCCUGAUCGUUCAUUAGCAAAUUUAAAAAGUUGAUUUCCUUCUGAAUUCAACGAUGUAAGUUCUAAGCAUUUCUGGCAUCACUGUACGUACAAUAAAAAGAUGCUCAGGGUAAUUCAGCAUGAGGAAGUUUUAGAUUUUGCUAACGAACUGAACAUUAAUUAUGGUUUAUUGAAAACGAAACGUGCAAGCAACACCCAAUCAUGUCUUCACUUGAAAUAGCUGUGGGAAAAAAGGCGAUUUUACUCGAUCUUUGAAGUUAACUAAAAAAACACGUGUUAACCAACUUGGAAUCAUUAACGAAAUCUGCAUACUGGCCCGUCUUAUCUUGAAAUUUUCAUGUGCAGAAGACCAGUUGUCAUUAAGAAUCAAAUUUCCUGCAAAUCAGUGACAUGCUAGAAAACCGCCGAGUUUUGAACAUUCAGUUGCAUUAUUAGGUCAGAUGUUUGCAGGCAGAGACGUCGCUCCAUGAUUUCGUGCCACUUCACUGUCCCAAUUUUUAAGUUUGUUUUUGGAAUGAGGGACAAACGAUCAUUGUUUUUGCUCGAAUAGUUGGUAUGCACAGAUCAAGCCAGUUUGGAGCCUAAUAAAGAAAAUAUAGAUGCAGGAUGAAUUUUCUAUUUUGCAAGCGAAAAUGUGAAGAGUUCUAGUGAAAAUGGUGGUACCGAGAGUAGAGUUCAAUAUACCCAAAAAAGGACGGAAAGGGUGAAGGUCUGUAACGCAGUACUUUGCCUUUGAAUAAACUUUUAAUCUACAGUGUUCCACAUACAUCGAAACAAAAGCUACAUUUUUCUUUGUAUGUGUUUAAUUUCUGCUAAUAGUGCAUGCCAUGUUAUUUGUUUAAAUACACAAUUUAGAAAACAUAGAUGAAUGAAAAAGGAUUUACAUUUCGAAAUUCUAUAAUUUUUGUCCAAAAUUCUAGUCCAAGUCAAUUGAAUUCUCUAUGAAUUAAAACAUCUUGCGACUCUUUUAAGAGAAUUUUUUUCGUGCCUAAAUCAAUAGAUAUAUAAUGGUAAAUACGAGGCAAUGUGCCAACAAAAAUUUGCAAAUUUAUAUAGGAUAGUUAAAAUUCCUUAGGGUCUUCUGCAUGUUUUAACUCCAUUACGGAAAGUUUGCAGAAGUAGACAAAAUUUAAUCACCCUGUAUAUUUUCAAAAAAUUACAAUACUCUACUGUUCCGAAUUAACUUAAAUUUUUAAUGUAAAAUUAUAUAUCGUGCAUACAAAUUAAAUCGUGUACAAGCCUAA
Dendroctonus ponderosae (mountain pine beetle) is the source of this 2063-nucleotide long non-coding RNA. RefSeq lists it as uncharacterized. The record is from RefSeq and is a predicted model, not a curated record. NCBI's taxonomy places the organism in Eukaryota, Metazoa, Arthropoda, Insecta, Coleoptera, Curculionidae. The transcript is spliced from 2 exons.